UUGUCGAAUUCCUGCAAAAGCAGACCGUGAACAAGUUAAACCAAAUUGGGACCGCGGGUCUUUGGGAGACCUUUUUCUCGCGCCCAUCUCUAGCAUGGUGUGCGUUUAGGCGUGCGUGGGGCGGGCUAACGAACCCCGGCGUGGCAAGCGCCAAGGAAAACUCAUAGAUGCGUCAGACUCCCUUCGCCCCGUUCGCGGUGUGCGGUGAGUUUACUGAUCACUCUCCAAUGUCAUAACGACUCUCGGCAACGGAUAUCUCGGCUCUCGCAUCGAUGAAGAACGUAGCGAAAUGCGAUACUUGGUGUGAAUUGCAGAAUCCCGUGAACCAUCGAGUCUUUGAACGCAAGUUGCGCCCGAAGCCAUUCGGCCGAGGGCACGUCUGCCUGGGGGUCACGCAUCGCGUCGCCUCCCACACCCACGCCCCAAGGGCUGACCGGGUGGUGGGGGCGGAAAUUGGCCCCCCGUGCGAUUUCCGCGCGGUCGGCCUAAAUGCGAACCCGUGGCGACUCAUGUCACGACCAGUGGUGGUUGUACAUUCAACUCUCGUGCUGUCUGUCGUGUCAUUUGAGUUGGCCGUCGGGCUUCAAUGCAGGCCCAAUGGCGCGAUCUUAUCGCACCUUCGACCGCGACCCCA
RNAcentral lists this ribosomal RNA (634 nucleotides) under Pedicularis urceolata. RNAcentral's name for it is "eukaryotic LSU rRNA". The stretch from base 238 to 393 matches the Rfam family "5.8S ribosomal RNA". The record is from RNAcentral. Lineage: Eukaryota; Viridiplantae; Streptophyta; Magnoliopsida; Lamiales; Orobanchaceae.